CCUACGGGAGGCAGCAGUAGGGAAUCUUCCGCAAUGGACGAAAGUCUGACGGAGCAACGCCGCGUGAACGAUGAAGGCCUUCGGGUCGUAAAGUUCUGUUGUUAGGGAAGAACAAGUGUUAGUUGAAUAAGCUGGCACCUUGACGGUACCUAACCAGAAAGCCACGGCUAACUACGUGCCAGCAGCCGCGGUAAUACGUAGGUGGCAAGCGUUGUCCGGAAUUAUUGGGCGUAAAGCGCGCGCAGGCGGUUUCUUAAGUCUGAUGUGAAAGCCCCCGGCUCAACCGGGGAGGGUCAUUGGAAACUGGGAAACUUGAGUGCAGAAGAGGAAGGUGGAAUUCCAAGUGUAGCGGUGAAAUGCGUAGAGAUUUGGAGGAACACCAGUGGCGAAGGCGACUUUCUGGUCUGUAACUGACGCUGAGGCGCGAAAGCGUGGGGAGCAAACAGGAUUAGAUACCCUGGUAGUCCACGCUGUAAACGAUGAGUGCUAAGUGUUAGAGGGUUUCCGCCCUUUAGUGCUGAAGUUAACGCAUUAAGCACUCCGCCUGGGGAGUACGGUCGCAAAGACAGAACACAANAGAAGUAGUACGGCGUGAGACGUGCCGACGGACGACGACGAGGGAGGUUAGG
RNAcentral lists this ribosomal RNA (629 nucleotides) under uncultured bacterium. RNAcentral's name for it is "bacterial SSU rRNA". It matches the Rfam family "Bacterial small subunit ribosomal RNA", at positions 338 to 961 of the family's 1533-position model. The record is from RNAcentral.